RNAcentral lists this transfer RNA (73 nucleotides) under Ailuropoda melanoleuca (giant panda). It matches the Rfam family "tRNA". Rfam says of the family: Transfer RNA (tRNA) molecules are approximately 80 nucleotides in length. Their secondary structure includes four short double-helical elements and three loops (D, anti-codon, and T loops). Lineage: Eukaryota; Metazoa; Chordata; Mammalia; Carnivora; Ursidae. The record is from Rfam by way of RNAcentral.
GCCUGGCCGGCUCAAUUGGUAGAGUGUGUGACUUCUGAUCUUGGGAUUGUGGGUUUGAGCCCCACAUUGGGUA